This 253-nucleotide ribosomal RNA is filed under the name uncultured bacterium. Its description in RNAcentral is "partial 16S ribosomal RNA". It matches the Rfam family "Bacterial small subunit ribosomal RNA", at positions 524 to 776 of the family's 1533-position model. The record is from RNAcentral.
UACGUAGGGGGCGAGCGUUGUCCGGAUUUAUUGGGCGUAAAGAGCGUGUAGGCGGCCAGGUAGGUCUGCUGUGAAAACUCGAGGCUCAACCUCGAGACGUCGGCGGAAACCAUCUGGCUAGAGUCCGGAAGAGGAGAGUGGAAUUCCUGGUGUAGCGGUGAAAUGCGCAGAUAUCAGGAGGAACACCGGUGGCGAAGGCGGGUCUCUGGGCAGUAACUGACGCUGAGAAGCGAAAGCGUGGGGAGCGAACAGG